RNA transcript from Medicago truncatula (barrel medic), 2627 nucleotides. RefSeq lists it as uncharacterized. The transcript is spliced from 4 exons. Lineage: Eukaryota; Viridiplantae; Streptophyta; Magnoliopsida; Fabales; Fabaceae. The record is from RefSeq and is a predicted model, not a curated record.
GACUUAUAUUGCAAAAUCAAUAAUGAUAUAUUGCCAUAGGUUUACGUAAAUAAAUUCUAAGCAACAACAUUCCAUGAUGGGAAAAUUAAAUCUUCAAUCCCCCUACAAUUAAUUCUAAAAUCCCCUAAUCUAAAUUAAACAAUUAAAAAAUCCUGCAAAUACCUCUCGCCGUCGCCCCAUCACCGCCAACCAGCACCCGUUAUCACCGUCUGGCCGCUUUGUCACGGACCAAUCCACCGCCGCUGUUACUGUUAUGGGUCAAGCUGCUUCUAUCAUGGGUCAUAUUACAGCUGAAGCAAGUGGUGAGAACAAUAACAAUGAUGUUGUUACACCAAAGCGGGGUGGUGUUGCUGUUACAACUGAAGCAACAGUGGAGUUGAAACUUCUUAUCGACAAAGAGACCAACAACGUGAUAUUUGCCGAGGCUGGAAAAGAUUUUGUUGACAUUCUCUUUAGCUUCCUAACGCUGCCUUUAGGAACAAUUGCAAGAUUGAUAGAGAGUGGCCAAUUCAACUUGGUUGUCUGAACACAUUUUAUGCCAGUGUCAAAGCUCUAGAUAGAGAGUGUUUCACAACCAACACGAUCAAACAAAUGAUAUUUCCAUCAAAAGAGGAGACUCAAUGUUAUCACGACUAUCUUAAGCUUUAUAUCCAUGACAAUGAGCCCUACAAGUACUUUCUUUGUUCAAAACUUGAAAAGGAAUCUUGCUCUUUUUUUCUGAGCGCUUCUGCAAAUCAUAGUUGUUGCUGCGAAACAUCUAGGCAAAGAAUCUGUUCGAGAUGGUAACACUUUUAUCAUUACUGCUGAUCUGGCUGUUUAUCCACUCACCACAGAAUAUUUAACUUUCUUGACUUCAUAUGUGAGAGGGAGAUUGUAUGUGUUUUUGUUCGUUGAGGUAUGCUUGUGAACAUGUUUAAAAUUGUACUUGGAAUUGAAUGACCAAAUGAGGUUAGGAAACCAACAUCAUAUACGGAUAUAGUUUAUUAUGAAAUUAAUCAUGUUAUAGUUGGAUGUAAGGGUCAUUAUGAAGUUGUGUUAAUUGGAAAUACACAUAUGAUCUUGGUUGUCCUGUUGUCUAAUUUAAAUUGGAGUUCCUCAUAUAAUGCCAUAUAGAAAACUGUUGUUGCUAUUAGUUGUUUUAAAAAUUUGUUGUUGCUAUUCGCUGAUGUAACAGUUGAUGUUAUUGUUGGUUGCAAUAGAAAAAUGUUGUUGUUGUUUGUUGUUUUAUGAUUUGCUGUUGCUGCUAGCCGUGAAGAAUCAGGAGAUCACAUACAUUGAUUAAGUGAUGAUUGCAUGCUAACAUAGAUUGAUAGAAUAUUGUUUGAAUGUUAAUUGAUUGAGUUAUGAAUUUGACGAACUUAUCUACUCUACUAGCUCAAUAAAAUUGCAUGACAUGUUUUGCCAUCAUUGUUUUCUAGUUUGAUAGUUGCGAUUGUUAAAUUAUUUGUCAUGCCUAAGCAUGAUACUUUAGUAAAUUCUAUUCUAGUAGUAAGUCGGUGGUAAGUGUUAACCGUACAAACACCAUUCUUUUAAUUUCCUCGUCAUCAAUUCAUAUUGAUUAGUGUGCUGUACAGGUACUAGAACUUCUAAAGCACGCUUUGGUUUCCCAAACCUCUCUUACAGAUUGGCUUUUAGGAAACAAACCAACCCUCGAAAUGUCACGGUUCUUCCCUUGUGAUGUUAAAAACAAUAGUGACAUCAAAUUUAGUGUGACACUGGUCUUAAAAAAAUCUGUAAACAAAAUUCUGUAUGCUCUAGUGAGUAAAGAAUUUGCUGAUUUUUUACUCAGCCUUCUCUCAUUUCCUUUGGGAGCUGUUAUUCAUUUAUUAGAAGGGAAAUCUUGUGUAGGAAAUAUGGAUUUGAUAUACAAUAGCAUACUUAAGUUGGAUGACAGAUAUAUGAGAUCAAUGGAUUCAAAAAAGUGGCUCAUUAAUCCACGCAUGGGCUGUCAAUUUAAGUUAAGCAACCAGAUUUCGGAAAUUGAAGAAAAGAUGCCGUAUUAUUGUUAUUAUCAAGGUAAUACCUUCAAAGAAAGUAUCGGCCAUGGAGAAUUUUACAUAACCGAUGUAUUCAAGAUUCUUGAGAAAAAGAUGAGUUGGUCUUCAAACCAUCUUGCCCAAUUUCAGAUUUCGAGUUUUUGAUGUCUCUGGAGAUUCCUCUAAAUGACGUGAAGAACAAGGCCGUCACUUUUGGGCUAAAAGAGUGUUUGAACAUAUUGAAGGCCGCUUUGACUUCAGAUUCUGCACUAACAAAUGGUUUGCUAUGCUACAUUGACCCUAUGUUACAAAUAGUCUAGGAUAUUUUUGUUUCUCCAAAGGUUGUAAUGGACAACAUGACUAGAUUUAGUCGUAGGAUGAUUAAUUUUCCUUCUUUGAUGUUAAGCAUAUCUAUUGCUAAUUGUGUUUUGAUAAUAGGUCUUUGCAUCCCAUUUUUUUUGUCAUCUAUUUAUUUUGAAAUGAAAUUAUAGAGCGAGUCAAAGAGAGACAGUAGUGAAUCAGAAGUUUACUCCAUCUUAUUCUUUAUUUUUCUGAUUUUUGCUAUCGUCAUGGAUAUCUUUUACUAUUAUAGAGUGAUUUUGUAUGUUUUUAAUGGAAGUUUGAGUAUGAAAAGUGGUGAACCUUGUAUGA